UGGGGAAUUUUGGACAAUGGGGGAAACCCUGAUCCAGCCAUCCCGCGUGUGCGAUGAAGGCCUUCGGGUUGUAAAGCACUUUUGGCAGGAAAGAAACGUCAUGGGUUAAUACCCCGUGAAACUGACGGUACCUGCAGAAUAAGCACCGGCUAACUACGUGCCAGCAGCCGCGGUAAUACGUAGGGUGCAAGCGUUAAUCGGAAUUACUGGGCGUAAAGCGUGCGCAGGCGGUUCGGAAAGAAAGAUGUGAAAUCCCAGAGCUCAACUUUGGAACUGCAUUUUUAACUACCGGGCUAGAGUGUGUCAGAGGGAGGUGGAAUUCCGCGUGUAGCAGUGAAAUGCGUAGAUAUGCGGAGGAACACCGAUAGCGAAGGCAGCCUCCUGGGAUAACACUGACGCUCAUGCACGAAGGCGUGGGGAGCAAACAGG
Molecule: ribosomal RNA, 429 nt
Filed under: Acidobacteriota bacterium
Lineage: Bacteria; Pseudomonadati; Acidobacteriota
Description: Acidobacteria bacterium partial 16S ribosomal RNA
Rfam family: Bacterial small subunit ribosomal RNA
Source: RNAcentral